UUCUAUCAAGGAUAUAGUGUACUUUGCAGUCAAUUUGCCCUAAAGUCUAAAAAUUUGAAUGGCUUGAACAUAACUUUUCUUAAUUGCUCUUAUGUUGAGGGAAUUCAAUGUCUUCAUACUCCAUCUGUUUACCUAUACAAAAUAUUGUUUAUUUGACGUGACCUGUAGCCUCAAUCUGGCAUAAAUCUUGCUUUUCCACCCAACAAGUAUAAUUUGGACAAAUUUAGGAAAUAAAAAUGUUUGUAAAGAAAUUUAAACAGCACAUUAGAUUCAUC
Molecule: long non-coding RNA, 275 nt
Filed under: Panax ginseng (ginseng)
Lineage: Eukaryota; Viridiplantae; Streptophyta; Magnoliopsida; Apiales; Araliaceae
Description: long non-coding RNA (PGIN_LNC013965)
Source: RNAcentral